Molecule: ribosomal RNA, 1235 nt
Filed under: metagenome
Description: bacterial LSU rRNA
Rfam family: Bacterial large subunit ribosomal RNA
Source: RNAcentral
UGAAUACGAGAUGCUACGGCGUCGAAGCAGUCUAUGUCAUACUUCCAAGAAAAGCUCGCACUGUCAUAAACAAAUAAUGCCUGUACCAUAACCGACACAGGUGGGUAGGUAGAGUAUACUAAGGGGCGCGAGAUAACUCUCUCUAAGGAACUCGGCAAAAUGACUCCGUAACUUCGGGAGAAGGAGUGCCUUAUUUAUAAGGUUGCAAUAACAAGAUCCAAGCAACUGUUUAUCAAAAACACAGGUCUCCGCUAAGUCGUAAGACGAUGUAUGGGGGCUGACGCCUGCCCAGUGCCAGAAGGUUAAAGAAGUUGGUUAGCAUUCGCGAAGCUGAUAACUGAAGCCCUGGUGAACGGCGGCCGUAACGAUAACGGUCCUAAGGUAGCGAAAUUCCUUGUCGGGUAAGUUCCGACCCGCACGAAAGGCGUAAUGAUUUGGAUACUGUCUCGGAGAGGGGCUCGGUGAAAUAGACUCGUCUGUGAAGAUGCGGACUACCUGCACCAGGACAGAAAGACCCUAUGAAGCUUUACUGUAACUUGAGAUUGAAAUUGGACUUUACUUGCGCAGUAUAGGUGGGAGGCGUUGAUAAUAUUCUUGCGGGAUUAUUUGAGCCAUCAGUGAGAUACCACUCUUGUAAUGUUAGAUUUCUAACUUUGUAUCAUUAUCUGGUCAAAGGACAGUUUCAGGCGGGCAGUUUGACUGGGGCGGUCGCCUCCUAAACGGUAACGGAGGCGCACAAAGGUUUCCUCUGAACGGGUAGAAAUCGUAUCUAGAGUGUAAAGGCAUAAGGAAGCUUGACUGUGAGACCUACAAGUCGAGCAGGGACGAAAGUCGGUCUUAGUGAUCUGACGGUGCUGAGUGGAAAGGCCGUCACUCAACGGAUAAAAGUUACUCUAAGGAUAACAGGCUGAUCUCCCCCAAGAGUUCACAUCGACGGGGAGGUUUGGCACCUCGAUGUCGGCUCAUCGCAUCCUGGGGCGGUAGUACGUCCCAAGGGUUGGGCUGUUCGCCCAUGAAAGCGGUACGCGAGCUGGGUUCAGAACGUCGUGAGACAGUUCGGUCCAUAUCCGGUGUAGGCGUUAGAAUAUUGAGAGGAGCCUUCUUUAGUACGAGAGGACCGAGAAGGACAUACCUCUGGUGUACCAGUUAUCGUGCCAACGGUAAACGCUGGGUAGCUAUGUAUGGAGUGGAUAACCGCUGAAAGCAUCUAAGUGGGAAGCCCACCUCAAGAUAAG